GACGAACGCUGGCGGCGUGCUUAACACAUGCGAGUCGAACGGAAAGGCCCUGCUUUUGUGGGGUGCUCGAGUGGCGAACGGGUGAGUAACACGUGAGUAACCUGCCCUUGACUUUCGGAUAACUUCAGGAAACUGGGGCUAAUACCGGAUAGGAGCUCCUGCUGCAUGGUGGGGGUUGGAAAGUUUCGGCGGUUGGGGAUGGACUCGCGGCUUAUCAGCUUGUUGGUGGGGUAGUGGCUUACCAAGGCUUUGACGGGUAGCCGGCCUGAGAGGGUGACCGGCCACAUUGGGACUGAGAUACGGCCCAGACUCCUACGGGAGGCAGCAGUGGGGAAUAUUGCACAAUGGGCGGAAGCCUGAUGCAGCAACGCCGCGUGCGGGAUGACGGCCUUCGGGUUGUAAACCGCUUUCGCCUGUGACGAAGCGUGAGUGACGGUAAUGGGUAAAGAAGCACCGGCUAACUACGUG
This 468-nucleotide ribosomal RNA is filed under the name uncultured bacterium. RNAcentral's name for it is "partial 16S ribosomal RNA". It matches the Rfam family "Bacterial small subunit ribosomal RNA", at positions 28 to 507 of the family's 1533-position model. The record is from RNAcentral.